Molecule: ribosomal RNA, 253 nt
Filed under: uncultured bacterium
Lineage: Bacteria
Description: partial 16S ribosomal RNA
Rfam family: Bacterial small subunit ribosomal RNA
Source: RNAcentral
UACAGAGGGUGCGAGCGUUAAUCGGAAUUACUGGGCGUAAAGCGUGCGUAGGCGGUCAUGUAAGUCGGGUGUGAAAGCCCCGGGCUCAACCUGGGAAUUGCAUUCGAGACUGCAUGGCUAGGGUGCGGAAGAGGGAAGCGGAAUUUCCGGUGUAGCGGUGAAAUGCGUAGAUAUCGGAAGGAACACCAGUGGCGAAAGCGGCUUCCUGGUCCAGCACUGACGUUCAGGCACGAAAGCGUGGGGAGCAAACAGG